AUUCACCAUAUUUACAUGGUAUCAGAGCCUGGAUCUUUCUCCCGGACAUACUCUCUAUCUUCCCCAUUCUUUUGGUUUGAGUUCAUGGCGUUAUCGGUGGUGAUUUCUGGUUUAUUUUCAAAGUUAUCGGUGAAGAUUCUGGAUUUUUUUUAUAUUUUGGUGAUAUCGGAGUUGUUUUGUUGCCGAUUCUUCCAACGAGGUGUUAGGGUGAUUUUCCGACACCUCUUGCGCUUGAUUCCACCGGGUUUUUCUGCAAGCUAGGGUUUUCUUCACACGCUAGGGUUUCUCUGCAAUUUUUUUUGAAGGCCGUAUCUUCUCCGGUUGCGUAGAAGCCUGGUAACCCUAUUAUCCCACUAGAUUAGGGCUUGCAUGUACCUUUGUUGUUGUAUUGUGUAGCUCAUAGUUAUUGUAUCUCUCUUUUCUCAUCCCUAUUAUCCUGUAUCCGAUGGCAGAUGUGAACCCUGUUAAUCCCUCACCUAUUGACCCUACAAUCCUCUAUUUGUUUACUCUUCUGAUGUCCCCGGAGUUUCUCUUGUUCCUAUCCCUUUCUCGGGUAAUGGCUAUGGGGGUUGGAAGAGAAAGGUGAUAGUCGCCUUAUCUGCUAAGAACAAAAUUGCAUUUGUUGAUGGAACUUGUCCUAUACCAACCACUAAUCUGGCUAAACAGAGACUAUGGGACAGAUGCAAUAACAUGGUCAUCUCCUGGUUGACUGCCUCUCUGUCCCCUCAAAUUGCUGAAAGUGUCCAAUAAUCUUAGACUGCACAGAGUAUAUGGGCACAACUCAAAGCCAGAUAUGGCACAGCCAAUAGGACCAAAAUUUUUGAACUGAAACGAGAACUUUCUCAUUCUUCUCAAGGACCCCUAGAUAUAGCCUCCUAUUUCAACAAACUCAAAGGGUUAUGGGAUGAGUUAGGUACAAUGUGCCCAAAUCAUGGACAGAGAUGUAUCUGUGAUGCUAGACCUAGCAUUAUAAAGGAGGAUGAGGAGAAUAAGGUGUUUCAAUUCCUCAUGGGUCUUAAUGAGACAUAUAUGGGGGUAAGGAGCAACUUGUUAAUGAUGCAACCUCCUUUGGUAUACUAAGGAUUCAUAUAGCCGGUCUUAAUGAGACAUAUAUGGGGGUAAGGAGCAACUUGUUAAUGAUGCAACCUCCUCCUAGUCUUGACAGUGUCUAUAACAUUCUCCUUAAUGAUGAAAAACAGAGACAAGUUCAGUCUGUCUCCCAGUUCAAUCCUGAUUCUAUGUCCUUCAAUGUUAAUACACAUAAACCUUCCACACCUUCCUUCAGUCCAGCUCCCUUGCUCAACUCUCCUCCUCCCAGACAGUAUGCCCAGAAAGUCACUUUUGAUCAGUCCAGAGGACCCCUCUUAUGUAGAUAUUGCAAGAAGUCUAGGCACUUAAUUGAUAAGUGCUACAAACUUCAUGGUUUUCCUCAAAGCAUCAGGAUUAACAAAGGCAAGAGACCCAUUGUUGCUCAUGUCACCACUGGUGUUGACUUCACAUCCUCUCCUUAUUCUGCUGGCCAUAAUUCUCC
RNAcentral lists this long non-coding RNA (1531 nucleotides) under Nicotiana benthamiana. RNAcentral describes it as "long non-coding RNA (NBEN_LNC014050)". The record is from RNAcentral. Lineage: Eukaryota; Viridiplantae; Streptophyta; Magnoliopsida; Solanales; Solanaceae.